UGUUAUUAUCCGCAACACGCUUCGUCAGAUGACAGGAAUAGAGUUGUCAGCAACAUGCUUCGUCAAAAAGUACAAUACUUACUUUCAUUUACAAGCGUCAUCAUAAGUAACAUGUUUGUUGAUUGAGUCGAUAUGUGUAGUGUUAAAUACAUGGUAGUGCGUGUAAUGUUUUUUAAUGAAAAAUGGUCGGAGCUCUAUUAACGAAAACCCUAUGAAGAUUUAUUUUUGAAGUAUAGCUUAUUUAGUGACACUGUGACUGUAAUUUAGAAGUUUUUAAUACGCUUUUUUAAAUAAUUUCAAAAAAUUGAAAUUCAAUUAAAAAAUGAAAAAUAAAUAAUAGUUUAAAAAAACUAACAAAAUACGCUUUUAUAGAAAAACCAAAUAAAAAAUUGAAAAUGAAUUUGAAUUAAAAAUAGUGUAAGAAAAAAAAAGAUUUUAUUGUAAAAAACGCGUUACUACUUCACGGCAGAAAUAGGCGGGGUGGUAGUACCUACCCGUGCGGACUCACAAGAAGUCCUACCACCACCGUAUGUGAGGCGGUCCACGCUGCCGAGGACAGGCUCUGUGGUGCGAUAUAGUCCGCCGGAAGAUUCUGAAAUCCCACAGAAGACACGAUUUUUGGCAUUGAGGAUUUACGACACAAGGAGGAGAGGUUGAUCAGCUUGUUGGCUGUCCUCUCACAUGGAAAGUUAUAUAUUUCAAUAAAUGUCACAACGUCGCCAUCAACGCACCAAAAUGCCGCCACCCACCUUCAGACGUGAGGUCAAAAAUUCAAGUGCAAUAACACGAUUAUGUUACUAAUUUAUGUUGUACCUAUUCAUUUUGUCAUCAAUUUAUUUAUUAACCAAUUAAGUAAAAAAAUUACGAUUUUU
Bombyx mori (domestic silkworm) is the source of this 872-nucleotide long non-coding RNA. RefSeq lists it as uncharacterized. The transcript is spliced from 2 exons. NCBI's taxonomy places the organism in Eukaryota, Metazoa, Arthropoda, Insecta, Lepidoptera, Bombycidae. The record is from RefSeq and is a predicted model, not a curated record.